This 329-nucleotide long non-coding RNA is filed under the name Capsicum annuum. RNAcentral's name for it is "long non-coding RNA (CANN_LNC007038)". Lineage: Eukaryota; Viridiplantae; Streptophyta; Magnoliopsida; Solanales; Solanaceae. The record is from RNAcentral.
UGAAAUAAACUUACUCACCUUGCCCUGCUAUCUGCAACCAUAUUAGGGGUAUAUCUGGCUAAUUGAGUAAACUUAAGAGAAUACUCUUUCACUAUCAUAUUGCCUUGCCUGAGUUUGAUGAAUUCUAACACCUUAGCUUCUCUAAGCUCUAGGGGAAUGAAUCUAUCAAGAAAAGUAGAAGUAAACUCCUCCCACUCAACUAGCCCUGUAUUAUCUUCCCUCUCUGACUUCUACUACUUGAACCAAGUGUGAGCAAUAUCCUACAACUAAUAUGCAGCUAGCUUAGCACUCUUACUAAGAGUAAACCCCAUUAUGUUUGUAACCUUCUG